UCCGUACGGUGGCGAGCGUUCUGCUAGACCUGUACUGACACUGAGGGACGAAAGCUAGGGGAGCGAAUGGGAUAGAUACCCCAGUAGUCCUAGCCGUAAACGAUGGAUACUAGGCGUGGCUUGUAUCGACCCGAGCCGUGCCGGAGCUAACGCGUUAAGUAUCCCGCCUGGGGAGUACGCACGCAAGUGUGAAACUCAAAGGAAUUGACGGGGGCCCGCACAAGCGGUGGAGUAUGUGGUUUAAUUCGAUGCAACGCGAAGAACCUUACCAAGACUUGACAUGUCGCGAAUCUCCUUGAAAGGGGAGAGUGCCUUAGGGAGCGCGAACACAGGUGGUGCAUGGCUGUCGUCAGCUCGUGUCGUGAGAGGUUGGGUUAAUCCCGCAACGAGCGCAACCCUCGUUUUUAGUUGCCAGCAUUAAGUUGGGCACUCUAAAAAGACUGCCGGUGACAAACCGGAGAAAGGUGGGGAUGACGCCAGUCAGCAUGCCCCUUUAGUCUUGGGUUCACACUUCUACAAUGUUCGGAAGAAGGGAGCUAACAGCAUGUUAAGCAAAUCGGAAACGUACUCAGUUCAAUCGAGGUG
RNAcentral lists this ribosomal RNA (585 nucleotides) under Nostoc sp. 1e. Its description in RNAcentral is "bacterial SSU rRNA". It matches the Rfam family "Bacterial small subunit ribosomal RNA", at positions 704 to 1305 of the family's 1533-position model. Lineage: Bacteria; Bacillati; Cyanobacteriota; Cyanophyceae; Nostocales; Nostocaceae. The record is from RNAcentral.